RNAcentral lists this ribosomal RNA (452 nucleotides) under Parapanteles sp. 1 SY-2020. RNAcentral's name for it is "partial large subunit ribosomal RNA". Lineage: Eukaryota; Metazoa; Arthropoda; Insecta; Hymenoptera; Braconidae. The record is from RNAcentral.
AAGAGUACGUGAAACCGUUCAGGGGUAAACCUGUGAAACCUAAAAAAAGGAAAGAGGAGAUUCUUCGUCAGUGUAUUCAGUAUUAAUGCAGGCUAUGAUGUGAUGAUAGAAUCCUCGUGGUCACUAAAUUAUACUUGCUUGUAUUAUUUUUGCUGGGUAUAUCGGCGCGCACUUCUCCUCUAGUAGAACGUCGCAACCCGUUGGAUGUUUAUUUAUGGCCUGAAUGGUAGCCUUUGAUAUUUUUAAUAUUAAAGACCUUUGGUGUUUUGAUAAACUGUCUGGCGGUACACAUAAAGAUAUUGAGCCGCAAUUAUUUGCGUUAGACUUGCCGCAAGUUAGGCUUUAUUCUAGUAGUGCGGAUCUAAUGCCGUCGCUAGUCAAAGUCUACUGUUAGCUGUGUAAUGUCUUUAACUGGCUUAUUUAUCGGUUAGCGAUGCUACUGCUUUGGGUAC